UUUCUUUCUUCUUCUCUCUAUACGUUGGUGUUCUAACCCAUAAUCAUUCAAUCGCUAUUACGAUUCAUUUUCCGACCGAUCAAUAUAUCCAAUGGAUGUUUAAGUGCCGCCCAUAUUAGGGUGAUACUUUGUCGUUCGUCGUUAAUUCGAUGAAUGAGUUUAAGUAUCGCACUUUGUCGUUCGUUGUGAGAAUUUGAUCUCGUGAGUUAUCGUAAAAGCUGUAUUGAUCAUUAACCCGGUUUUUGUGAAAUUCGUUAAGGUUCGAAUCUCAUGACUACCGUUAAGGUUUGAUUUGGGUUUUACACCAAUACGUAUUCCAUUCUGUUAAACUAUAUAUUUAAUUACCAAGAAUACUCCCAACUACACCCUUACAAUCAAACAAACUAUUAAAUCAUCAGAAGAUCCAGAAUAAUAAAGUGCAUGCUUAAUUAUCGGAAGAAAUAGAAUCAAGAAGUUUGUUAACUCAAUCCUGCAUGCUGAUUUGUGGGCGAGCCUAAAUGUGACAUACGUCACUCAUUGGGACAGCCAAUGGUGAUAUGACCACAGUCACAGAGCUGGUAAUUACAGUAGACUGGAGUAAGGAUUGGAUCCGGCACUAAAAGACUUCAAGAAGUGGCUUAUUUUAUUAAUUAAAUCAAAUUAAGAAAUAUUGUUUUUAUUAAAAGCUACCUUUGUAAAACUUGGAAUUUAUUCCAUCCAUUUAAAUAAAAUCCGGUGUU
This 719-nucleotide long non-coding RNA is filed under the name Helianthus annuus (common sunflower). RNAcentral describes it as "hypothetical non coding rna". Lineage: Eukaryota; Viridiplantae; Streptophyta; Magnoliopsida; Asterales; Asteraceae. The record is from RNAcentral.